UCAGAAUCAACGCUGGCGGGCGUGCCUCAGACAUGCAAGUCGAACGAGAAAGUCCCCUUCGGGGGAUAAGUAAGGCGGCGCACGGGCGAGUAACACGUAGGUAAUCUACCUUCGGGUGGGGAAUAACCCAGGGAAACUUGGGCUAACACCGCAUAAUGCAGCGGCACCACAUGGUGACAGUUGUUAAAGCGGGGGAUUUUAGGACCUCGCGCCUGAAGAGGAGCCUGCGGCGGAUUAGCUAGUUGGUAAGGUAACGGCUUACCAAGGCGACGAUCCGUAGCCGGCCUGAGAGGGCGGUCGGCCACACUGACACUGACAUACGGGUCAGACUCCUACGGGAGGCAGCAGUCGGGAAUUUUGGGCAAUGGGCGAAAGCCUGACCCAGCAACGCCGCGUGAAGGAUGAAAUCCCUNNGGAUGUAAACUUCGCAAGAAUGGGAAGAAUUAGUAGGGGCUAAUACCCCCUAUGAUGA
RNAcentral lists this ribosomal RNA (472 nucleotides) under uncultured Acidobacteriota bacterium. Its description in RNAcentral is "bacterial SSU rRNA". It matches the Rfam family "Bacterial small subunit ribosomal RNA", at positions 24 to 475 of the family's 1533-position model. Lineage: Bacteria; Pseudomonadati; Acidobacteriota. The record is from RNAcentral.